GAUGAACGCUGGCGGCGUGCCUAAUACAUGCAAGUCGAGCGAACAGACGAGGAGCUUGCUCCUCUGACGUUAGCGGCGGACGGGUGAGUAACACGUGGAUAACCUACCUAUAAGACUGGGAUAACUUCGGGAAACCGGAGCUAAUACCGGAUAAUAUAUUGAACCGCAUGGUUCAAUAGUGAAAGACGGUUUUGCUGUCACUUAUAGAUGGAUCCGCGCCGCAUUAGCUAGUUGGUAAGGUAACGGCUUACCAAGGCUACGAUGCGUAGCCGACCUGAGAGGGUGAUCGGCCACACUGGAACUGAGACACGGUCCAGACUCCUACGGGAGGCAGCAGUAGGGAAUCUUACGCAAUGGGCGAAAGCCUGACGGAGCAACGCCGCGUGAGUGAUGAAGGUCUUCGGAUCGUAAAACUCUGUUAGUAGGGAAGAACAAAUGUGUAAGUAACUAUGCACGUCUUGACGGUACCUAAUCAGAAAGCCACGGCUAACUACGUG
This 497-nucleotide ribosomal RNA is filed under the name uncultured bacterium. Its description in RNAcentral is "partial 16S ribosomal RNA". It matches the Rfam family "Bacterial small subunit ribosomal RNA", at positions 28 to 507 of the family's 1533-position model. The record is from RNAcentral.